Molecule: long non-coding RNA, 941 nt
Filed under: Phoenix dactylifera (date palm)
Lineage: Eukaryota; Viridiplantae; Streptophyta; Magnoliopsida; Arecales; Arecaceae
Description: long non-coding RNA (PDAC_LNC016873)
Source: RNAcentral
UUUCGUUAAUUUGGAGUCGAUUUGGUUAUUGAGUUAAGUGAUUGGAUCAAUUGAUCAAUGUAAGACCUAAUUAUAAAUGUCCAAUUUUGGGUGUGAUCAAUUGGUUUAAUGCUCUAAUGUUAGUCAGAUUUAAAUUGGUAUGUAAUUAAUUAAUUAGCUAAGUCAAUUAAUUGAAAGGUUCAAGUUUGGUUAGUUGUUAAUUGUUUGACUUGGUCCAUUCAUAAUGUAAGACCUAUAUAAGGGCCACCUUCCUCAUGAAUUAGGGAAUUGAAUAAUUAAAUAAAAUCCUAGCCUCCUUUCUUCUCUUCUUCUCUUCUCCUUCUCUCCUUCUCUUCUUUCUCCUCCUUUCCUCUCCUCCCUGCAGUGAUCCGCCAUAAGCUUGGUAUCAGAGCCACAACUUUGCCUCUGCUGCCAAAGCCCCGAUCCAGCUUACCAGAGCCAUGUUUCAAAAUUUUCUAGCUGCCAUGGCAUUGCUUUCACAUGAGGGCUCAGACUUCUUCCUCAGCCGAGAAGGGGUCCCGAUUUCCCCCGUUCUUUCUCCAUGGCCGUCUCGUGGGGAUCAGGCCUCAUAGCGGGAAGCAACAAAAAAAAGAAGGAAAGAACCUGUUCAUCGUCCCCUCCGCCCGCCCGCAGCCACCACUCCAUUUUUCCCUCUACCGGUCGCAGCAGCACCACCACUGUCGCCACCUCCUUCCGCAGUGCCGCCUCACCGCUGGUUCGCCACCGGGCACCGCUGGUUCGCCACCGGAAGCCCAUCGGCCGCAUCCCUAUUGCCGCCAUCUGUAGCCGGAGCCGAAGGAGGAAUGCCACCGCCCCUCUCCGUCGCCGCAAAAUUCGGCCACCGCCACGGGGCAGGUAGCCUUCCCCUCAAAACCCUAGGCGAAUCUAGUCGGGUUGAAAAAAAAAAGCAUACCUGUUCAUCUUCUUCUUCAUCCGUGACG